Molecule: ribosomal RNA, 468 nt
Filed under: uncultured bacterium
Lineage: Bacteria
Description: partial 16S ribosomal RNA
Rfam family: Bacterial small subunit ribosomal RNA
Source: RNAcentral
GACGAACGCUGGCCGCGUGCUUAACACAUGCAAGUCGAACGGAAAGGCCCUGCUUUUGUGGGGUGCUCGAGUGGCGAACGGGUGAGUAACACGUGAGUAACCUGCCCUUGACUUUGGGAUAACUUCAGGAAACUGGGGCUAAUACCGGAUAGGAGCUCCUGCUGCAUGGUGUGGGUUGGAAAGUUUCGGCGGUUGGGGAUGGACUCGCGGCUUAUCAGCUUGUUGGUGGGGUAGUGGCUUACCAAGGCUUUGACGGGUAGCCGGCCUGAGAGGGUGACCGGCCACAUUGGGACUGAGAUACGGCCCAGACUGCUACGGGAGGCAGCAGUGGGGAAUAUUGCACAAUGGGCGGAAGCCUGAUGCAGCAACGCCGCGUGCGGGAUGACGGCCUUCGGGUUGUAAACCGCUUUCGCCUGUGACGAAGCGUGAGUGACGGUAAUGGGUAAAGAAGCACCGGCUAACUACGUG